CCUACGGGCCGCAGCAGUGGGGAAUAUUGGACAAUGGGGGCAACCCUGAUCCAGCCAUGCCGCGUGUGUGAAGAAGGCCCUCGGGUUGUAAAGCACUUUCAGUGAGGAAGAACGCCUGGUGGUUAAUACCCAUCAGGAAAGACAUCACUCACAGAAGAAGCACCGGCUAACUCCGUGCCAGCAGCCGCGGUAAUACGGAGGGUGCGAGCGUUAAUCGGAAUUACUGGGUGUAAAGCGCGCGUAGGUGGCUUGAUAAGCCGGUUGUGAAAGCCCCGGGCUCAACCUGGGAACGGCAUCCGGAACUGUCAAGCUAGAGUGCAGGAGAGGAAGGUAGAAUUCCCGGUGUAGCGGUGAAAUGCGUAGAGAUCGGGAGGAAUACCAGUGGCGAAGGCGGCCUUCUGGACUGACACUGACACUGAGGUGCGAAAGCGUGGGUAGCAAACAGGAUUAGAUACCCUAGUAGUC
Molecule: ribosomal RNA, 465 nt
Filed under: Vreelandella stevensii
Lineage: Bacteria; Pseudomonadati; Pseudomonadota; Gammaproteobacteria; Oceanospirillales; Halomonadaceae
Description: partial 16S ribosomal RNA
Rfam family: Bacterial small subunit ribosomal RNA
Source: RNAcentral